Molecule: ribosomal RNA, 492 nt
Filed under: uncultured bacterium
Lineage: Bacteria
Description: partial 16S ribosomal RNA
Rfam family: Bacterial small subunit ribosomal RNA
Source: RNAcentral
AGUGAACGCUGGCGGUAGGCCUAACACAUGCAAGUCGAACGGCAGCACAGUAAGAGCUUGCUCUUACGGGUGGCGAGUGGCGGACGGGUGAGGAAUACAUCGGAAUCUACUUUUUCGUGGGGGAUAACGUAGGGAAACUUACGCUAAUACCGCAUACGACCUACGGGUGAAAGCAGGGGAUCUUCGGACCUUGCGCGAUUGAAUGAGCCGAUGUCGGAUUAGCUAGUUGGCGGGGUAAAGGCCCACCAAGGCGACGAUCCGUAGCUGGUCUGAGAGGAUGAUCAGCCACACUGGAACUUGGACACGGACAAGGCUCCUACGGGAGGGAACAGUGGGGAAUGUUGGGCAAUGGGCGCAAGCCUGAUCCAGCCAUACCGCGUGGGUGACGAAGGCGUUCGGGUUGUAAAGCCCUUUUGUUGGGAGAGAAAAGCAGCAGGUUAAUACCCCGCUGUUCUGACGGUACCCAAAGAAUAAGCACCGGCUAACUACGUG